CAGAGGCCUGGACUCCCCCCGGGCCACAGCCUACUGGAGGCUCCAGUCCCCAGAGACAGCUGGGGCAUCGCCCCCAAAGCCGUGGAAGCCCCACCCACGGUGCCAUCAUACCACAGCCAGGACAUCUUGUGACACACACAGCCCCAGCCUCAGCCUCCAUACACACGCACCACACACACUCAUGCAAAACACAUACACAGCCACACUGAAUGCACCCCUAGAUUUGAGAUGGGUGUUACAGGUGUCUCUCCGCCCCAGCCCCCUCCUGGCCACGCGGCCACCUGCCGACCCUCGCGUUUCCCCACACCCUCCCCCUACUUCCGUGUGGGGUUCAGAAGCCCCUCCCUGGCGCUCGCCCUGUCACCCAGAAAGGAAACUCACUGUCAACUGGAGAACAGGCCAGUGGCGGAGCCCCAGCGCCCACAAACCCUCGGAGAGGGCCUGGCGGGAGGAAAGGCACGCACCGAUGGCAGAGCCCCAGUGCCCUGAGAGAAGCCAGAACCCACAACCUCCCACCUCCCAACCCUUGCCGGUCUCCCCACCUCCGCCUGGGGGAUGGCCAAGACACAGCCCAGUCUGGAGCGGGGAGCAGGGACAAGAUGACCUCAGGAAGCCCAGGCUACAAGGGUGCCUGCUUCUUCCCCUCCCCCGCUCCACUCCGCAGGCGAGACCCCCAACACUGCUCCCCGACACUCUCCGAGGCACCCCUCCUCCGUGCUCACACCCAAAACACGUCUGCUCACCCGUGGGCCUCCCACUCCGAUCACAACGAGGACUGGCCACAAGUCCAGGUGUCAGUUACCUUCACCCCGACCUGGUCCCUGUCCGGCCUCGCCAGGUCAGCACCCGCCUCGCGCACAGCAGGGCCGGGUGGAAGGAGGCCGGGCCUGGCCGUGGCUCAGGCGCCACCUCGCUGGGGAAACUGGGGGGUGGUCUCAGCCCCCUUCUGGUCCUCAGCCUCCCCAUCUAUCCCAAGAAGCUGGGGCAGGCCUGGGCGGCGAGGGGACCCCCACCGCUGGCUCGCCGACUCCGCCCCCCGGAGGCCCCUCCCGCGCCCCGCCCCUGCCCCCGCCCCGGGGCCGCGCGGGCUGCCUGGGAGUCUGCGGUCCAGCAGCGGUCCAGAGCGCGCGAGGUUCGGGGAGCUCGGCGAGGCUGCUGGUACCUGCGUCCGCCCGGCGGUGAGUCCGCGGGGCCGCGACCGGGACGCCCCCGCCACCUGCGCGCACGCGCUCAGACCCGGCGGCCUCGGCUGCGGUGCACGCGGCCCCGGCCCAGCCACGCGCGGCGGAAGGCGCCCUGCGGGGGCCGGGGCUGGAGACGGUGGGAGAGAGCAAGAGGGGCGCACGGGGAGGCGCAGGAGAGGGGUUGGGGUUGCCGGUGGGUUGGUCCCGCGAGAGCUGAGCCUCUCCUCCCAUCCCCCCCCAGGCCUCCCCGAAUGUUUCCAAAGAUCUGGGGCGGGAGCGGGCGGAGACUGCCGCCAGGAGCCUCCCGGCCGGCCCAGGGCUGCGCAGCCACUGGAGCCCAUCACCCAACUCCAGACGCUCCUGGCUCCCCAGCGUGGGCCGGGAGUGACAGCUUUGCUGACUAGGGGAGGGGGCACGGGACCUUGCAGAGCUCCUGGCCGGAAAGGGAGGAUUGACCGCUCCCCCGCGUAUCACCCCGGAGCACUGGAACCCGCCCCCGCUUCUUGUUCUGGCACUGGUGGUGCUUGCGGUGAGGUCCAAGGAGCCCAGCCUCCCGGAGUGGACCGCCGGGCCGCUCCCCAUUCCCACAGGAGAGGCUCCCGCCUCUUGCUGGCUGGGCAGCCCCUAGAUACCUGGCUCCCAGGGGCCAGCUUCCCUGAGCCUGGGGACGAGCCUGCAGCCUGGACCCCACGGGCGCCCCCUACGGCCUGCCGGCUCCCUCUGGGUUCCACAGCCCACCCGGCCUUCCUAAUUGCCUUCUGCUCCCACCGGUGCCUUAGCUCAGCCUGGUGGCCCUGCGGGUUGGGUGCCAACCAGUGGGCAGAUGGCGGCACCAACUGGACCUGUUUGCGGCCCUGUAUGCCAGGACUUCCUCAGAGACAGGACGGCUGCUCUGGUUUGUGA
This 2087-nucleotide long non-coding RNA is filed under the name Macaca mulatta (Rhesus monkey). RNAcentral describes it as "lncRNA (ENSMMUG00000062086.1)". Lineage: Eukaryota; Metazoa; Chordata; Mammalia; Primates; Cercopithecidae. The record is from RNAcentral.